UGUAGGAGGACAAUACCAUGAGUUGCUGCAAUAAUUGCAACUUUGGCCAGGGGCGUCGGCAAUUCCUGGCUCUGUCAAGCACAUAUCAAGAGGAUCAACAGGGGAAGCCUCAGUACAUGCUCAGAAGGUAACGUUACAUGACACGAAAGUAGUGAAAACUUAAUGAAAACCAUUGUAAAAAGUUUAAAGAAAUUCUCCAAAAAAUAAUAAUGAGUUAAGUGACCCAGCAGGUGUGAGUUAUGCUCAUAAUCCUGUCGCACUUAUCCCUUCUGUUUCUUUUGCUUAGCACAAUAAUAAGAGGCCUUGCUUAGCACAAUAAUAAGAGGCCACGCAGCGUGAGUGUGUUCACGAUUUGGCAGUAUUAUUUGAGGCUUCCCCUCAACUCUAGUUUCCUUUCGGUCGGAUGUAAGCGGCCCGCUCCAUGAAGGCAGUGUAGUAAAAAGUUUGAACUUGAAAGGUCAUUUGUUCAAUGC
Brachypodium distachyon (stiff brome) is the source of this 473-nucleotide long non-coding RNA. RefSeq lists it as uncharacterized. The record is from RefSeq and is a predicted model, not a curated record. The transcript has 2 exons. Lineage: Eukaryota; Viridiplantae; Streptophyta; Magnoliopsida; Poales; Poaceae.